AGAGCGAACGCUGGCGGCAGGCCUAAUACAUGCAAGUCGAGCGGCCACUUCGGUGGCAGCGGCGGACGGGUGAGUAACGCGUGGGAAUGUGCCCUUUGGUACGGAACAACUGAGGGAAACUUCAGCUAAUACCGUAUGUGCCCUUCGGGGGAAAGAUUUAUUGCCAUUGGAGCAGCCCGCGUUGGAUUAGCUAGUUGGUGGGGUAAAGGCCCACCAAGGCGACGAUCCAUAGCUGGUCUGAGAGGAUGAUCAGCCACACUGGGACUGAGACACGGCCCAGACUCCGUACGGGAGGCAGCAGUAGGGAAUCUGCGCAAGUGGGACAAAGCCUGACGCAGCCAUCGCCGCGUGAAUGAUGAAGUCUUAGGAUUAGUAAAUUCUUACGACGGG
Molecule: ribosomal RNA, 390 nt
Filed under: uncultured soil bacterium
Lineage: Bacteria
Description: bacterial SSU rRNA
Rfam family: Bacterial small subunit ribosomal RNA
Source: RNAcentral